AACGAACGCUGGCGGCAGGCCUAACACAUGCAAGUCGAGCGCCCCGCCAGGGGAGCGGCGGACGGGUGAGUAACGCGUGGGAACGUACCCUUUGCUACGGAAUAGCCUCGGGAAACUGGGAGUAAUACCGUAUGUGUCCUUCGGGAGAAAGAUUUAUCGGCAAGGGAUCGGCCCGCGUUGGAUUAGGUAGUUGGUGGGGUAAUGGCCUACCAAGCCGACGAUCCAUAGCUGGUUUGAGAGGAUGAUCAGCCACACUGGGACUGAGACACGGCCCAGACUCCUACGGGAGGCAGGAGUGGGGAAUCUUAGACAAUGGGCGCAAGCCUGAUCGAGCCAUGCCGCGUGAGCGAUGAAGGCCUUAGGGUUGUAAAGCUCUUUCAGGGGGGAAGAUAAUGACUGUACCCCCAGAAGAAGCCCCGGCUAACUCCGUG
Molecule: ribosomal RNA, 431 nt
Filed under: uncultured bacterium
Lineage: Bacteria
Description: partial 16S ribosomal RNA
Rfam family: Bacterial small subunit ribosomal RNA
Source: RNAcentral